RNAcentral lists this ribosomal RNA (305 nucleotides) under uncultured bacterium. RNAcentral describes it as "bacterial SSU rRNA". It matches the Rfam family "Bacterial small subunit ribosomal RNA", at positions 334 to 657 of the family's 1533-position model. The record is from RNAcentral.
UGUCCCUACGGGAGCAGCAGUGGGGAAUAUUGCACAAUGGGGGAAACCCUGAUGCAGCGACGCCGCGUGAGUGAGGAAGUAUUUCGGUAUGUAAAGCUCUAUCAGCAGGGAAGAAAAUGACGGUACCUGACUAAGAAGCCCCGGCUAACUACGUGCCAGCAGCCGCGGUAAUACGUAGGGGGCAAGCGUUAUCCGGAUUUACUGGGUGUAAAGGGAGCGUAGACGGCUAAUCAAGUCAGAAGUGAAAACCCAGGGCUCAACCUCGGGACUGCUUUUGAAACUGAUUAGCUAGAGUGCAGGAGAGG